RNAcentral lists this ribosomal RNA (440 nucleotides) under uncultured bacterium. Its description in RNAcentral is "partial 16S ribosomal RNA". It matches the Rfam family "Bacterial small subunit ribosomal RNA", at positions 338 to 795 of the family's 1533-position model. The record is from RNAcentral.
CCUACGGGAGGCAGCAGUGGGGAAUCUUGCGCAAUGGGGGAAACCCUGAUGCAGCAACGCCGCGUGAGUGAAGAAGUAUCUCGGUACGUAAAGCUCUAUCAGCAGGGAAGAAAAUGGCGGUACCUGACUAAGAAGCCCCGGCGAACUACGUGCCAGCAGCCGCGGUAAUCCGUAGGGGGCAAGCGUUGUCCGGAUUUACGGGGUGUAAGGGGGGCGUAGACGGCAGCACAAGUCUGGAGUGAAAUCCCGGGGCUUAACCCCGGAACUUCUUUGGAAACUGUGCGGCUGGAGUGCAGGAGGGGCAAGUGGAAUUCCUAGUGUAGCGGUGAAAUGCGUAGAUAUUAGGAGGAACACCAGUGGCGAAGGCGACUUACUGGACUGUAACUGACGUUGAGGCUCGAAAGCGUGGGGAGCAAACAGGAUUAGAUACCCCAGUAGUC